RNAcentral lists this ribosomal RNA (1439 nucleotides) under uncultured bacterium. RNAcentral's name for it is "bacterial SSU rRNA". It matches the Rfam family "Bacterial small subunit ribosomal RNA". The record is from RNAcentral.
AGAGUUUGAUCCUGGCUCAGAACGUACGCUGGCGGCACGCCUAACACAUGCAAGUCGAACGAAGUAGCAAUACUUAGUGGCAGACGGGUGAGUAACAUGUAGGUAUCUUCCCUUUGGCCUGGAAUAACACGAGGAAACUUGUGCUAAUACUGGAUAAGUCUUUACGGAGAAAGCUUUAUGCACCAUUGGAUGAGCCUGCACUUGAUUAGUUUGUUGGUGGGGUAAUGGCCUACCAAGACUUUGAUCAAUAGCUGAUUUGAGAGGAUGAUCAGCCACAUUGGGACUGAGACACGGCCCAAACUCCUACGGGAGGCAGCAGUGGGGAAUAUUGCACAAUGGAGGAAACUCUGAUGCAGCGAUGCCGCGUGAGUGAAGAAGGCCUUUGGGUUGUAAAGCUCUUUCGUCGGGGAAGAAAAUGACUGUACCCGAAUAAGAAGGUCCGGCUAACUUCGUGCCAGCAGCCGCGGUAAUACGAAGGGACCUAGCGUAGUUCGGAAUUACUGGGCUUAAAGAGUUCGUAGGUGGUUGAAAAAGUUGGUGGUGAAAUCCCAGAGCUUAACUCUGGAACUGCCAUCAAAACUUUUCAGCUAGAGUAUGAUAGAGGAAAGCAGAAUUUCUAGUGUAGAGGUGAAAUUCGUAGAUAUUAGAAAGAAUACCAAUUGCGAAGGCAGCUUUCUGGAUCAUUACUGACACUGAGGAACGAAAGCAUGGGUAGCGAAGAGGAUUAGAUACCCUCGUAGUCCAUGCCGUAAACGAUGUGUGUUAGACGUUGGAAAUUUAUUUUCAGUGUCGCAGCGAAAGCGAUAAACACACCGCCUGGGGAGUACGACCGCAAGGUUAAAACUCAAAUGAAUUGACGGGGACCCGCACAAGUAGUGGAGCAUGUGGUUUAAUUCGAAGAUACGCGCAGAACCUUACCAACACUUGACAUGUUCGUCGCGACUUUAAGAGAUUAAAGUUUUCGGUUCGGCCGGACGAAACACAGGUGCUGCAUGGCUGUCGUCAGCUCGUGUCGUGAGAUGUUGGGUUAAGUCCCGCAACGAGCGCAACCCUCACUUUUAGUUGCCAUCAUUUAGUUGGGCACUCUGAAAGAACUGCCAGUGAUAAGCUGGAGGAAGGUGGGGAUGACGUCAAGUCCUCAUGGCCCUUACGUGUUGGGCUACACACGUGCUACAAUGGUAUCUACAACAGGAAGCAAAACUGCGAAGUUAAGCAAAUCCUUAAAAGAUACCUCAGUUCGGAUUGCACUCUGCAACUCGAGUGCAUGAAGCUGGAAUUACUAGUAAUCGUGGAUCAGCGUGCCACGGUGAAUGCGUUCCCGGGUCUUGUACACACCGCCCGUCACACCAUGGGAGUUGGUUCUACCUUAAGGCAAGGUUUAAUACCCUUGACCACGGUAUAGUCAGCGACUGGGGUGAAGUCGUAACAAGGUAGCCGUA